GAUGAAGAAACGCAGCGAAAUGCGAUAAGUAGUGUGAAUUGCAGAAUUCAGUGAAUCAUCGAAUCUUUGAACGCACAUUGCGCCCCUUGGUAUUCCAUGGGGCAUGCCUGUUCGAGCGUCAUUUGUACCUUCAAGCUCUGCUUGGUGUUGGGUGUUUGUCUCGCCUCUGCGUGUAGACUCGCCUCAAAACAAUUGGCAGCCGGCGUAUUGAUUUCGGAGCGCAGUACAUCUCGCGCUUUGCACUCAUAACGACGACGUCCAAAAGUACAUUUUUACACUCUUGACCUCGGAUCAGGUAGGGAUACCCGCUGAACUUAAGCAUAUCAAUAAGCGGAGGA
Molecule: unclassified non-coding RNA, 338 nt
Filed under: soil metagenome
Description: partial contains 5.8S ribosomal RNA, internal transcribed spacer 2, and large subunit ribosomal RNA
Rfam family: 5.8S ribosomal RNA (bases 1-121)
Source: RNAcentral